CUUCCGCCCCAUUCCGGCCCGGUUUCAAUCCCCACCUCCCACCCUCCGGAUCCAAUCCGGAUCGACGCGGAGAGGUAAGGGCGACGGGGCGCGGCAGGCGGCGCGCUCGUGGGCGAUGGCGCGCGGAGAGGGGAGGGCGCGGCUGGCGGCGUAUGAAGGUUCGCGGGCGACGGCGCAGCGGCACGGCAGCGCACCGGCGGCGAGCUUUCACCAGUAAACCGCCGCCUCUGUCUCCUCCUUCCCCUCUCCGCGUUUCUUGGAUCUUGCCGUGUCGGCAGUCUCCUCGGGCGGCACCGGCGGCGGUGGAGGCGUUGAGGACGGCACCGGCGGCGGCUGAUCCAAUCCCAGUGCGGCGGAGGCGUUGCGCAACAUGAAGCUAGUGGCCGAGUACGUGCGUGGCUGCUGCUGCUUCUGAAGGAGAGCGUCAUCGCCUUGCUUCACUGCUGCUGAAGAAACUUGGGUGCUGCCUUGUGACACGAAUGGAGUGAGUAGCAGCGCAGAGGGGUAUAGGGAGAUGCUAGCUUGUUGUGCUCAUGUAUAGAAGUGAGUGGACAAUGUAUAAUUGAUAGGGAUAUUUGCUUGCUAUAGAGAUCCGAAGGUGCCUGAGAUCCUCAAUUUGCUAUCUAAAAGUUCCUCUGGGACUUGCUUAUUAUGACCAAAACUGAGUGCCACCCUGUCCUGCCAUUCAUUGCACAUUGCUAAUUUGCAAUGGCCUCCUCAAGUCCUCAGGCUCCAUUUGUGAUUGUGAGGAUCCAGUAAAUUGUUAAGUUUUCUAUUUUUCUAUCAAUUUCUAUAAUGACUUUGUCUGGCUCGAAGUAGGCUGUAGUUGUUUUGUUUACAAUUUUUCACCAUUACUGUUUGUUAGUUUAAUAAGUGAGUAGAAGUGAUUGGCAACCCUCUGAAUUUUCUUGAUUGAUAACAUGUGAGUUCACAGAAAAGAACAAUUGCUGGACCAGCAGCCCUGCAAGUAUGAGCAUGUGGCCAACUUUGUGUUCAAUUGGAGGUUUCUUUUGCAACCAUCUACCUGAUACACGCUGUUGUAUUUGGUUAAUGUUGAUGAGACCCAAGUUUGAGAUGAUGGACGGCAUGCAAUGCAAUUGCUCAUGCGCUAUAUAUCUCUAUCUCCUGCUCCUCUUCCUCCUUUAGAUCUCUAUAUCUAGCUUUUUGAUUGACAGAUUGAGUGAUGAUUGGUUUGGAGUUGUUAUCUACAACUGUUGUGCAAGUUUCAGAUAAUAUCCUCUUGUAAUUUAAGUGUGAAGAACUCUAUUACUGCAUUUUUCUUGUUUACUAUUGUAUUUACUGAUGGAUGAAAGCCUGUAUGAUGGAUGGAUGGAAGCAUGCAUGUAUGUGUUUUUUUUUUGAGACAGCAUGCAUGCAUGUGUUAUAUAA
Panicum virgatum (switchgrass) is the source of this 1389-nucleotide long non-coding RNA. RefSeq lists it as uncharacterized. The record is from RefSeq and is a predicted model, not a curated record. Lineage: Eukaryota; Viridiplantae; Streptophyta; Magnoliopsida; Poales; Poaceae. The transcript has 2 exons.